RNAcentral lists this ribosomal RNA (484 nucleotides) under uncultured bacterium. RNAcentral describes it as "partial 16S ribosomal RNA". It matches the Rfam family "Bacterial small subunit ribosomal RNA", at positions 30 to 507 of the family's 1533-position model. The record is from RNAcentral.
AUUGAACGCUGGCGGCAGGCCUAACACAUGCAAGUCGAGCGGAUGAAGGGAGCUUGCUCCUGGAUUCAGCGGCGGACGGGUGAGUAAUGCCUAGGAAUCUGCCUGGUAGUGGGGGAUAACGUCCGGAAACGGGCGCUAAUACCGCAUACGUCCUGAGGGAGAAAGUGGGGGAUCUUCGGACCUCACGCUAUCAGAUGAGCCUAGGUCGGAUUAGCUAGUUGGUGGGGUAAAGGCCUACCAAGGCGACGAUCCGUAACUGGUCUGAGAGGAUGAUCAGUCACACUGGAACUGAAACACGGUCCAGACUCAUAAGGGAGGCAGCAGUGGGGAAUAUUGGACAAUGGGCGAAAGCCUGAUCCAGCCAUGCCGCGUGUGUGAAGAAGGUCUUCGGAUUGUAAAGCACUUUAAGUUGGGAGGAAGGGCAGUAAGUUAAUACCUUGCUGUUUUGACGUUACCAACAGAAUAAGCACCGGCUAACUUCGUG